UGGUAGCUGGGUAAGGUGAUGAUCCUCGAUGUCUUUGCUGCAAUGGAUGCAAAACUCAAGCAACGUUUGAGGAUCUGGAACGUUCUCAUUUAGCUUCUCAUAUUCAAAAGUCCAGUGAACCAAGCAGCUGCCCUCUCCCUUGGGAGUAGCUUGAACGAUGACUAUGAAAUUCUUGUACUCCGUGG
Long non-coding RNA from Populus euphratica (Euphrates poplar), 185 nucleotides. RefSeq lists it as uncharacterized. The transcript is spliced from 3 exons. NCBI's taxonomy places the organism in Eukaryota, Viridiplantae, Streptophyta, Magnoliopsida, Malpighiales, Salicaceae. The record is from RefSeq and is a predicted model, not a curated record.